RNAcentral lists this unclassified non-coding RNA (21 nucleotides) under Mus musculus (house mouse). RNAcentral's name for it is "oocyte_clustered_small_RNA4397". Lineage: Eukaryota; Metazoa; Chordata; Mammalia; Rodentia; Muridae. The record is from RNAcentral.
CGUCACCUCACCAGGUAUGCA